Molecule: ribosomal RNA, 460 nt
Filed under: uncultured bacterium
Lineage: Bacteria
Description: partial 16S ribosomal RNA
Rfam family: Bacterial small subunit ribosomal RNA
Source: RNAcentral
CCUACGGGUGGCAGCAGUGAGGAAUAUUGGUCAAUGGACGAGAGUCUGAACCAGCCAAGUAGCGUGAAGGAUGACUGCCCUAUGGGUUGUAAACUUCUUUUAUAGAGGAAUCAAAUGUUCCACGUGUGUGAUUUUGUAUGUACCAUAUGAAUAAGGAUCGGCUAACUCCGGUCCAUCAGCCGCGGUAAUACGGAGGAUCCUAGCGUUAUACGGCUUUAUUGGGGUUUAAGGGAGCGGAGGUGGGUUGUUAAGUCAGUUGUGAAAGUUUGCGGCUCAACCGUAAAAUUGCAAUUGAAACUGGCAGUCUUGAGUACAGUAGAGGUAGGCGGAAUUCGUGGUGUAGCGGUGAAAUGCUUAGAUAUCACGAAGAACUCCGAUUGCGAAGGCAGCUCACUGGACUGCAACUGACACUGAGGCUCGAAAGUGUGGGUAUCAAACAGGAUUAGAUACCCUGGUAGUC